This 585-nucleotide ribosomal RNA is filed under the name uncultured bacterium. RNAcentral's name for it is "partial 16S ribosomal RNA". It matches the Rfam family "Bacterial small subunit ribosomal RNA", at positions 355 to 935 of the family's 1533-position model. The record is from RNAcentral.
UGGGGAAUUUUGGACAAUGGGCGAAAGCCUGAUCCAGCAAUGCCGCGUGUGUGAAGAAGGCCUUCGGGUUGUAAAGCACUUUUGUCCGGAAAGAAAUCCUUGGCUCUAAUACAGUCGGGGGAUGACGGUACCGGAAGAAUAAGCACCGGCUAACUACGUGCCAGCAGCCGCGGUAAUACGUAGGGUGCAAGCGUUAAUCGGAAUUACUGGGCGUAAAGCGUGCGCAGGCGGUUUGCUAAGACCGAUGUGAAAUCCCCGGGCUCAACCUGGGAACUGCAUUGGUGACUGGCAGGCUAGAGUAUGGCAGAGGGGGGUAGAAUUCCACGUGUAGCAGUGAAAUGCGUAGAGAUGUGGAGGAAUACCGAUGGCGAAGGCAGCCCCCUGGGCCAAUACUGACGCUCAUGCACGAAAGCGUGGGGGAGCAAAACAGGAUUAGAUACCCUGGUAGUCCACGCCCUAAAACGAUGUCAACUAGUUGUUGGGGAUUCAUUUCCUUAGUAACGUAGCUAACGCGUGAAGUUGACCGCCUGGGGAGUACGGUCGCAAGAUUAAAACUCAAAUGAAUUGACGGGGUCAUAGCUGUUU